RNAcentral lists this ribosomal RNA (466 nucleotides) under uncultured bacterium. Its description in RNAcentral is "partial 16S ribosomal RNA". It matches the Rfam family "Bacterial small subunit ribosomal RNA", at positions 28 to 507 of the family's 1533-position model. The record is from RNAcentral.
GACGAACGCUGGCGGCGUGCUUAACACAUGCAAGUCGAACGGAAAGGCCCUGCUUGCAGGGUACUCGAGUGGCGAACGGGUGAGUAACACGUGGGUGAUCUGCCCUGCACUUCGGGAUAAGCCUGGGAAACUGGGUCUAAUACCGGAUAGGAGCCAUUUUUAGUGUGAUGGUUGGAAAGUUUUUUUCGGUGUAGGAUGAGCUCGCGGCCUAUCAGCUUGUUGGUGGGGUAAUGGCCUACCAAGGCGGCGACGGGUAGCCGGCCUGAGAGGGUGGACGGCCACAUUGGGACUGAGAUACGGCCCAGACUCCGACGGGAGGCAGCAGUGGGGAAGAUUGCACAAUGGGCGCAAGCCUGAUGCAGCGACGCCGCGUGGGGGAUGACGGCCUUCGGGUUGUAAACUCCUUUCGCUAGGGACGAAGCUUUUUGUGACGGUACCUAGAUAAGAAGCACCGGCUAACUACGUG